AUCCUUUUCCUUUAUUUGUUUCUAUUUUUAGCCAUAACAAAAAUUUUGUUUUUCAUAUCUAAUCAUUCAUUUAUUUCUAUCUAAUUUGCCAUAACAAAUUUUUUUGUUUUUAAGUUAAAUGCAUACCCUAUGAGUAUAUAGGUUGUCUUACAGAGGUUUUGUUAGGAAAAUGAGAAAAAUAUAACAAGAUUGAUACCGUCCUG
RNAcentral lists this long non-coding RNA (203 nucleotides) under Lathyrus oleraceus (garden pea). RNAcentral describes it as "Pisum sativum (pea) long non-coding RNA (PSAT_LNC025484)". The record is from RNAcentral. Lineage: Eukaryota; Viridiplantae; Streptophyta; Magnoliopsida; Fabales; Fabaceae.